GCCUCGGUGGCUAAGCGGUCUACAGCGUCUGCCUCGUACGCUGGUCGACUCGCGGGUUCAAAUCCCGCCCGGGGCUCCA
RNAcentral lists this transfer RNA (79 nucleotides) under Candidatus Thorarchaeota archaeon. RNAcentral describes it as "tRNA-Thr". It matches the Rfam family "tRNA". From Rfam's summary of the family: Transfer RNA (tRNA) molecules are approximately 80 nucleotides in length. The record is from RNAcentral. Lineage: Archaea; Promethearchaeati; Candidatus Thorarchaeota.